This 2494-nucleotide long non-coding RNA is filed under the name Marmota monax (woodchuck). Lineage: Eukaryota; Metazoa; Chordata; Mammalia; Rodentia; Sciuridae. The record is from RNAcentral.
GCCAAUGGAAGACCACCCCAUGUACACCACCAGAACAGGGUGCGCUCCGUGGGAAACUGUGGGCAAGUUUCCAUUGAUUGGUUUCAGUUUCUAUAAACAGAGUCCCAAGGGCUCAACCUGUGUCACGUCUUGCCAUGUUUUAGAUUCACUUUAAACUCAUGUUUCUAGAAAAGGCCACUGAGAAGCAGCUUGAACUUUUGUUAUCAGAUGUUUACAUACAUGGGUUGUAAUCUCAAAGGAAAUAACUGGAAGCCACAGAUCUAAAGAGGGAAUCUGGAGGGUGGGGGCCUCCAGGACCUGCUCUGGCCAUACACUUCAAAGUCACCCAGAAGAGAAAGGCAGGGGCUGUCUCUGCAGAGCUGGCCUUGCCUCUUGGCCCAGAUAUAUAAGGAGCAGGGGCCCAGCUUGGGAACAAAGGACUAGCAAAGAAGAUGCUGGGUAACAAGACUGUCACUUUGUUUUUCCACACAAAUGAUCGCAUUCUACCUGAAAUCCUCUUGGAAUGAGCAGUGGAGUUUGGGAGCAGGUACUGAAUGAAUAAAUUAACAAACCAUUGAAUAAUUAGUUAAUUAGUGACAACCCAGGCUGAGAGAAAUGAGCAGAAGGGGUGACUAUGGCCUCUCUGAGGAGGGAAAGUGGCUAUUUUAUAUUCCCACGUAGAGAGAGAGGACUGCUUUCUGAGCUCUGGUUUUCUGGAGAUAAUAAUCAGGAGUGUUGUGUAUGUGCUUUGCAAUUCUAAAGUGCCACACAAUAUUAUUUACAUCAUUCUGCUUUUCUCCUUGAUGAGCUGUUUAAAAAAUGGUAAUAUUAUAAUCCGGCAGAUUAAUCUUGUGUGAUAAAAACAAAGGCUCGCUUUUCAGAGUUCUCCAUCAUGCCAGCCAGUAUACCUGUCCCUGCACAAUGACUGUGUCUGUGUAGACUCUUGCUGAGCCCAAAGGAGCUUCAAGGGCAAGAGAGGUGGGUCCCACAGAUCAUCCAUGGAACAGGCACAGGCACACCACUAUGCUUAAGGCUACCCAAAGAAACACAAGAAGAUAAUUCUAAGAAAACAAAGGGACUUCUGGGGAAACUCAAGAUGACUUGUCUGGGGAGAGGAAAAAUCUGUAAGGUUCAUUGUACAGCUUCUUGAUGAAAAGAUGGCAUUGUCAUGGCCUGAGAUGCAGAAAGGAAGAGUGAGGAUUCCGGAAGGAAGACAUCCCUAAGAAUGAGAGGACAACCUGCAUGGCUGAGCUGUUUGAUUGACUGCAUUUCUUACUACAAUCUGUUGAAAGAAUAUGACAGGCUCCGAGAAAAGUGGGAGGAAGAAGGUGAGGCCUGGGCUCUGCCCUCUGCCCUCUGGAAACCCUUCAGGCAGGAUGGAAUCCCAGAAGCAUUCCAAACCUAUGGCAGGACAGGAUGGAUCAUCAAAAAGAGCAGAAGUGCCAGGGGAAGAGCAUCGCAGUGCUGGCAGGUCCUCCUUUUUUUUAAAUAUCUUUAUUUAUUUUCAUGUGGUGCUGAGGAUCGAACCCAGUGCCUCACAUGUGCAAGGCAGCACUCUGCCGCUGAGCUAUAACCCCAGCCCUUAACCCUACCUCUUAUGAAGCACACACGGUUUCUUCCAUGUUUGAUCAUGGUAACAAUGACGGAAGAAAAAUGUGUCUUAAAAUGAAGUGAAAUUGUAGAAAAUGGUGUGGCUUGAUCCUCACCUCAAGUAAUUUAAAUCAUAGGUAACUGGAUUUCAUUACAUGCACAUUACACUGACACCUGAUUCAUGAUGUAGAUCCUAAAGGCAGUAUUCUAGUCCUUCUCUUUCUUGAACAAUUUUGACAGUUUCGAUUCUGCCUCUUCACUCUGUCCCUUUUCGUCCAUUAUCAUGUCUUACAGUGCUUACCUAAUAACUAAAUGUCAAGUUGGGAGCUGGUAAUUACAUGCCCUGACCUGUUCUCCUACUCUCACUUCAUCUUUUUCUCAAUGAGCAUCUGGAGUACCAACAAUUUGAUUUCACCCAGGUGAGCUGUCUUGGAUGGCUCCUUGCUGCAGAACUUCUCAGAUGAAUGGUUUUCACAGGAAAAGCAAGUCUGUCUUCUCUCUCCACCCCCAUUUCUCUCUUUUUGUGGGGUUAGGGAAUCAGCCCCAGGAUGUCACAAAUACUAAGCAAGUACUCUACACUGAGCCUCAUCCCCAGUACUGUCAUUUGAUUUUUUAAAUUAAACUUUUUUUUUCUGAUUUAAACAGUCUUUACCCAACUUUCUAGACAAUGGCACAGAACAUAUUUUGUAUAUUAUGUGACAGGUGAAAAGUGCUUCCAAUGUAUAUAAAUCUAAUUUUAGUUUCCAGAUCUUUAACCUGUCUAACUUUCCAUUGCUUAACUGAGAUUCAUAGAGAUCUUCUUGCAAAAGGUAUUUAUUUUUUACUCAAAUUGGGAUUUAUACUGACUCCUGAGCAUAUAUAUUUUGGGGGAAUAUUUGUAAUGUGGUAGGAAGAGUGAAUUACUUAUGAAUUUUCUAACUGGUNU